CACGUAGGGGCGAGCGUUGUCCGGAAUUACUGGGCGUAAAGGGCGCGCAGGCUGUUAUGCGAGUCUGCUGUGAAAUGUACCGGCUCAACCGGUGCCUUGCGGCGGAUACUGCAUAGCUGGAGUACUGGAGAGGGAAGUGGAAUUCCUGGUGUAGCGGUGGAAUGCGCAGAGAUCAGGAGGAAUACCGAAGGCGAAGGCAGUCUUCCAAGCCGUUAUUGACGCUCAACUGCGAAGGUGUGGGUAUCAAACAGGAUUA
Molecule: ribosomal RNA, 256 nt
Filed under: uncultured prokaryote
Description: partial 16S ribosomal RNA
Rfam family: Bacterial small subunit ribosomal RNA
Source: RNAcentral